CGUAACCAACCUGCCCUUGACUGGGGGAUAGCCCGCCGAAGACGGUUAAUACCGCAUAAACUAGCAACUCGGCAUCGAGUAACUAGUAAAGAUUUAUUGGUCAAGGAUGGGGUUGCGUGACAUUAGCUAGUUAGCGGGGUAACGGCCCACCAAGGCGACGAUGUCUAGGGGACCUGAGAGGGUGAUCCCCCACACUGGCACUGAGAUACGGGCCAGACUCCUACGGGAGGCAGCAGUUGGGAAUAUUGGGCAAUGGGCGAGAGCUGACCCAGCCAUGCCGCGUGCCGGAUGAAGGCCUUCUGGGUUGUAAACGGCUUUUCUCAGGGAAGAAAAAGACCAUGCGUGGUACACUGACGGUACCUGAGGAAUAAGCACCGGCUAACUCCGUGCCAGCAGCCGCGGUAAUACGGAGGGUGCAAGCGUUGUCCGGAUUUAUUGGGUUUAAAGGGUGCGUAGGCGGCCCGUUAAGUCCGGGGUGAAAGCCUACAGCUCAACUGUGGAACUGCCCUGGAUACUGGCGGGCUUGAGUCCAGACGAGGUUGGCGGAAUGGAAGGUGUAGCGGUGAAAUGCAUAGAUACCUUCCAGAACCCCGAUUGCGUAGGCAGCUGACUAGGCUGGUACUGACGCUGAGGCACGAAAGCGUGGGGGAGCGAACAGGAUUAGAUACCCUGGUAGUCCACGCCGUAAACGAUGGAUACUCGCUGGUGGCGAUAGACAGUCACUGGCUUAGCGAAAGCGUAAGUAUCCCACCUGGGGAGUACGCUCGCAAGAGUGAAACUCAAAGGAAUUGACGGGGGCCCGCACAAGUGGUGGAGCAUGUGGUUUAAUUCGAUGAUACGCGAGGAACCUUACCUAGGCUAGAAUGCGCGUGACCGGUUCAGAGAUGAACUUUUCCUUCGGGACACAAAGCAAGGUGCUGCAU
This 923-nucleotide ribosomal RNA is filed under the name uncultured Bacteroidota bacterium. Its description in RNAcentral is "bacterial SSU rRNA". It matches the Rfam family "Bacterial small subunit ribosomal RNA", at positions 116 to 1046 of the family's 1533-position model. Lineage: Bacteria; Pseudomonadati; Bacteroidota. The record is from RNAcentral.